GAUGAACGCUGGCGGCGUGCCUAAUACAUGCAAGUCGAGCGAACGGACGAUAAUCUUGCUUCUCUGAUGUUAGCGUCGGACGGGUGUUUAACACUUGUAUAACCUACCUAUAUUACUGUGAUAACUUCGGGAAACCUUAUCUAAUACCGUAUAAUAUUUUUAACCUCAUUGUUCUAAUGUUAAUUACUUUCUUUCUGUCUCUUAUAGAUGUAUCCGGUCUGCAUUAGAUAUUUGGUAAGGUAACGGAUUACCAAGGCAACGAUGCAUAGCCGACCUGAGAGGGUGAGCGGAAAGACUGGAACAGAGAAACGGAAAAGAAGCCUACGGGAGGCAGCAGAAGGGAAUAUUCCGCAAUGGGCGAAAGAAUGAAGGAGCAACGCCGAGUGAGAGAUGAAGGACUUAGGAUCGUAAAACUAUGUUAUUAGGGAAGAAAAUAUGUGUAAGUAAAAGUGAAGAUAAUGACGGUAACAAAUAAGAAAGCAACGGCUAACUACGUG
RNAcentral lists this ribosomal RNA (497 nucleotides) under uncultured bacterium. RNAcentral's name for it is "partial 16S ribosomal RNA". It matches the Rfam family "Bacterial small subunit ribosomal RNA", at positions 28 to 507 of the family's 1533-position model. The record is from RNAcentral.